CAGCAGCCACGGGAAUACGAAGGGUGCAAGCGUUACUCGGAAUUACUGGGCGUAAAGCGUGCGUAGGCGGCUUCUUAAGUCGGAUGUGAAAUCCCUGAGCUUAACUUAGGAAUUGCAUUCGAUACUGGGAAGCUAGAGUAUGGGAGAGGAUGGUAGAAUUCCAGGUGUAGCGGUGAAAUGCGUAGAGAUCUGGAGGAAUACCGAUGGCGAAGGCAGCCAUCUGGCCUAAUACUGACGCUGAGGUACGAAAGCAUGGGGAGCAAAUAGGAUUAGAUACCCCAGUAGUCCCUGUCUCUUAUAC
This 301-nucleotide ribosomal RNA is filed under the name uncultured bacterium. RNAcentral's name for it is "partial 16S ribosomal RNA". It matches the Rfam family "Bacterial small subunit ribosomal RNA", at positions 509 to 807 of the family's 1533-position model. The record is from RNAcentral.